RNAcentral lists this ribosomal RNA (483 nucleotides) under uncultured bacterium. RNAcentral describes it as "partial 16S ribosomal RNA". It matches the Rfam family "Bacterial small subunit ribosomal RNA", at positions 30 to 507 of the family's 1533-position model. The record is from RNAcentral.
UUGCACGCUGGCGGCAGGCCUCACCCAUGCCAGUCGUGCGGAUGAAGGGAGCUUGCUCCUGGAUUCAGCGGCGGACGGGUGAGUAAUGCCUAGGAAUCUGCCUGGUAGUGGGGGAUAACGUCCGGAAACGGGCGCUAAUACCGCAUACGUCCUGAGGGAGAAAGUGGGGGAUCUUCGGACCUCACGCUAUCAGAUGAGCCUAGGUCGGAUUAGCUAGUUGGUGGGGUAAAGGCCUACCAAGGCGACGAUCCGUAACUGGUCUGAGAGGAUGAUCAGUCACACUGGAACUGAGACACGGUCCAGACUCCUACGGGAGGCAGCAGUGGGGAAUAUUGGACAAUGGGCGAAAGCCUGAUCCAGCCAUGCCGCGUGUGUGAAGAAGGUCUUCGGAUUGUAAAGCACUUUAAGUUGGGAGGAAGGGCAGUAAGUUAAUACCUUGCUGUUUUGACGUUACCAACAGAAUAAGCACCGGCUAACUUCGUG